GUGCCAGCAGCCGCGGUAAUACGGGGGGUGCUAGCGUUAUUCGGAAUCAUUGGGCGUAAAGGGCGCGUAGGCGGUCUCUUAAGUCAGAUGUGAAAGCCCUCGGCUUAACCGAGGAAGUGCAUUUGAUACUAAGUGACUUGAGUAUGGGAGAGGGAAGCGGAAUUCCUGGUGUAGCGGUGAAAUGCGUAGAUAUCAGGAGGAACACCGGUGGCGAAGGCGGCUUCCUGGACCAAUACUGACGCUGAGGCGCGAAGGCGUGGGGAGCAAACAGGAUUAGAAACCCCCGUAGUCC
RNAcentral lists this ribosomal RNA (292 nucleotides) under uncultured bacterium. RNAcentral describes it as "partial 16S ribosomal RNA". It matches the Rfam family "Bacterial small subunit ribosomal RNA", at positions 505 to 796 of the family's 1533-position model. The record is from RNAcentral.